CUGCCUCUGAAACCCACCCCUAUCUCAAAAUACUCUCAAACCUUCUCUAACCCUAGCCUCCUCCCGUCACAUCUACCUUGAAACCCACUGAAAUCUAUGGCUUGUAAGGUUUUAAGAGCCCUAAUCCCACCUCCUAUGAUUCCUACGUACACGGUCUAUGAAGAUUCAAGGCCUGACCUUGAAGGUUCAUGCCCAGAUCUCUGUCGACUCAAAGUUCCACGGUUAUCUCCGGGGCGUUGCUUCGGCGUACCGCUGUUGUUUGAGCCUGGUUCUGACCUCUCCGACUCCAAUCGGUGGCCUUUCAAAGACUUUCUCAUUUCUAGGGUUCUUCUGAAACCCUAACUCUUCGAGGUUUCCUCCGAUUAUCUUAGAUCUGUUGUGUAUCUAUGCUCUCCUUGAAGUUUUCAAACGAUUCUCCCAACUUUUCUUUAAAAAAUUACUUUCAAAAAUCUUUCUUUUCUGAUAUAGGGUUUUCUGAAAGUGUUUAAGUGUUUUAUGAUUUUUCUUUGUCUUUUGUGUGUAUUUGCCUCUAUUGAGUUCUUGUAUCAUGGUCUUGUAUGUUUCUCUUACUGUGUUUUCCUACACUAUGUUUUUGUAUGUUUUUCAACUAUUUUCUGGUUAUUCCUUCAACCAUGUUCUUGUGCGUUCUUUUACUAUAUUUUCUAUACUAUGUUCUCAUACGCUUUUAUACUAUGUUCUGGUAUUUUCUUCUACCAUGUUCUGUUAUGUUUCGCAUACUAUAUUUUUUCUACUGUGUUCUUAAGUAUUUUUACUAUUUUUUUCUUCUAUGAACCUUGUUUAAGUUUCUUCUAAAAGAUCUUCUUAAGAAUGCUUCUUCUACUGUUCCUAUCAGUAUUUUUAUUUGAAUGCUUCUACUGUGUUCUGCAUGUUAUUUUGAUUUCAUGUUUUAUCAUGGGUUUCUGUUGUUGAUACAAGCAUGCAAGAGGUUUCAGUUCUUCUCUGAAACCUCUGAGUCUGUUUCAACUACUUGCCUUCUCAUCUCUGUAUUUGACUCAAGGUGGAAUUCUGCGAAGUUUGAUCAUGUGAUGUGAUUGAACUAUGGUUUUUAUUUCUAGAACUCCUAACUCUUUCUGACCAACUUCGGGUCUCUGAAUUGAGUUUGGACUUCCUUGUUUUCAUACGAUUUUGACCCUUUCACUAAACUCUUCUACACUGGAUUUUUCUAUUAAUGUUACAGUGACAUGACAAUUUUUCUUCCAUACUUAACAUGCUCUCAUUCUCUUUAUAUAUGAUGAGUUUCCCUCUAAAUGAUUUUCAAAUUUGCAAUUAGUUCAAGCUUCCUUAUGAAUAUAGCUUGGUUGAUUUCUUUCCAUUGUUUACUGAUUUUCUCUGUGACACAACCUAAGUAAAACCCUCCUUCAUCUUUUCUGACUUGGUUUAUUCAUACAAAAUCUCAAACCAUUUGAUUUACUGGUUGUUAAUUGAUCUUCUUACCUUAUUUGUACAAAACCGUGUAUUUCAAAACCCUGUCCUUAAACAACUUUUAUGUACUCAUCCCUAAUUACCUACUUUGCACAAAGUGUUUGAUUAAUUUCUUUCCUCAAAUAGUUUAUACCCGUGUGAAUCUGAAUCAUUUAAUAAAAGGGAGUCUUGUGUUAUUGAUUGACAAUCAGUUCUUAAACUAUUUUCUUACCUUAUUUUCUCAUGAUUUUUACACUAUAAAUACACGACUCUUUAACACAACGGAGACAUUUGAACAAUCCUACACUUCGCAAUUCACAAUCUUUUCUGAAUUCUCACUCCCACAUAAUAGAAUUCUUCCUUCUUGUCUGCAUUCUUACUUUUACAAGACUGCUUUUCCCUAUUUGUUGCUUUGAAACUGGUAUGUCCUAAUUUAACUUUAGCAUCACCGCAAUGUGUUUACUUACAACUUUCUACAUCUACGUCUGUUUUACUUCUUCUGCAGAGUUAAGUGCUUAAACUAGCACGUUGAUUUCCUUUUGCUUGUUUCUGCUAUGAAUCCAUAUUCCCUAUCUCCCUUUUCUGUUUGAGUUAUAGUUCAAAAUAUGGCAAUAUUCAAGUCAUUGUCUAUGGAUUGAAUUCGAUCCCUUAUAGGAUCCUAACCUCUAAACAGUGUGUUAUAAACAGACUUAUGAGUAUGCCAACAUCUCUUAUUGUUGGUGAUGACACUAGUAUGCUCUUUGCUUCUUCCACUCCCCAUUCCCUAUUUCCCUAUGUGUAUAUGGACUGCUUCCCUUCCUUUUUCCCCUUUCUGAAUUUCGCUUUUGCACUUGCAUUCUUUCUUAGUUCCUAAGUUCUGCCCCCCUCUUGUGAGCCAUGAGACCUUGAGUUUCCUCUGAACUUGGACACUGAGGCUUGGCCCUUCCACACUGCACUAUGUCUUAAUCUGGUAAUGCAUUUAGGUUUAAGCACUGUCCGAAGUUCAUGUGAGACUCUUAGAUAACUUUGACACCCCCCAAAUGGGAGAAAGACUUUGAAAUCUGAUCUACUGGAGUUGGUUUACUUCAGGCUUUAGACAUGAAGUAUGAAUCAGGCUUUCCUUGGUUGUACUUUUAGCUUCUGAUGUAUUUUUUCUGUACUUUACUUUCUUUUCUAGGUUGUAAUAACUAUGUAAAAAAAAACUCUUGGUGAUGGCCAGGGAAAAGGGAAGGGCAAUUAUGUAUGCUAAAGAGGGUAGAUACCAUGUCCAUAGGAAUUUCAGUAUUCUCAUAUAUAGCUAUCAUGUUUAUAGGAAUUCCGUAUUCUCAUCUAGCUAACAUGCCUAUAGGAUUUCUGAUUUCUGCAUUCUCAUAUAGCUAACAUGUCCUACAGAAUUUCUAAUUUCUGCACUACCAUAUAUAGAUACCAUGCCUAUAGGAUUUCUGCAUUCUCAUGUAGAUAACCUGCCUAUAGGAUUUCUGAUUUCAGUAUUCUCAUAUAUAGAUACCAUGUCUAUAGGAUGCACAUGCAUGUAGAAAUUAUGCCCAUAGGUACUUUCUAAUUCUUGCAUAUCCACUUUUCACUAUGCAAACGUGUUUAUAGGUCUUAAUAACCGAAAUGCAACCAGACGUCGUGUUUAUAUAAAAUCCAGCAUUUGGAUGUCAUGCCUAUAGGUUUUCUGCAUUUUUACUAUGUUUAUGAAUGUGUUCUGAAGUCGAAAAACAUAUAGAAAGCAUGCCUUUAUAAGUUAAUCAAAUCUAAAUCUCCUCACUCGCUCAUAAGUCUAAGACUAGCAGUAAUAAUGUAUCACCAAUGGAAGAACUUAUGCUCUUGUAAAACUCGCUUUUAAUUGGCAACUUUUCUUAAUGAAGUCUGUAAUAAAUUUACCUCUGGAAUCAGUAUGCUUAUAGGUUUUCGUCUAACACUUAGGCAAGCCAUAAGAUGACUUAUAAAAUUGAAAUUAGAUUUUAUAUGCUAUAACCAGCAAGUAGGCCAGAUUGAGGCUUCUUAUAUGAACUAUGUAAUAAAUCAGUCUGCCUCAAAUCUUUAAGUUUUAAUUAGACCUUAAACAGCACGUGCAAGACAUGCUAAACUAUGUGCUUUCUUGGUUUAAAUGAGGUCUGUUUGAGCCUUUUAUUUGUUCAUAUGCUCCCCCAAACCUGCUAUAUGUGUUUUGUCUGUCGUCUUAGCAUUUUUACCUUUUGAAACCACAAAUAAGCCCAAAACUUACUCCCUUUAGGACUAGUAGUCCCAAGUACCUCUGGGACUGAUAGGAUUGGGGCGAGUGAUAUCAUACAAUAAGUAAACGAGACCAUUCCGCGCUUUCAUAUCUUAAACGGGGUGGGAAAGGGUAGAUAUGGAUAUGAUGACAAGUGUGCUAAUACUACGUGUGCCCCUCUCUGAGGAGUGAUUACCGGAUAUUGCAUUGACGUUAUUUAUAUUAUUAAUAAACCUAGGACCUCUCCCCUUUGUUUUUAGUUUCUUUUAAAUAUUUCAAAACCAUCUCUUCUAAGAAAGAAAAAUCAACUCUCUUUAGCUCUUGCUGAUCUUGUUUAUUUGUGAACAUUACAUGAAAAUCCCCUAUUAUAUGGAAAACUUAUUUGCCUAUGAGUUAUUUGCAUUUAAAACUCAACAAUAGCUUUUCUGGGAACCACGCUAGUGGAUCCUGAGGGUUGCCUAACACCUUCUCCUUGGGAUAAUUUCAAGCCCUUACCCAAUCUUAUGUUAUCCAAAUUGAACUCUUCUUAGUGUCCUAAUGCACUAUAAUCAUUAGGUGGCGACUCUUCAAUUACAAAAACCCAAUUCGCAAACGGGAACAAGUUUUCCUCCUGAAUGUCAUAAAUCCAAUUUUGUGAGAAAAAGGGGGCGCGACAACAUGGAGAUUCUGCUGGGUAUCUCUUUUAGGCUUUUAUUUCAAGCUAUUACUAUGACUUUACAUUUCUUAUAUGUCUUUAUUUGUUUAUCCCUUUAAGCAUUUAAUCCUCUCUUCUACUACGAAACUGACUUGUUUUUUUUUUGUUCCUUUCCUUUAUCUCUUUCUUGCUUUCCUUUAUUGCAUUCCUUUAUUACUCUUUUAAAUUAUUGUAUAUGAACGUGCAAAUACGUGAAAACUUGUUUUAAUUAUUGCAACUACAUAUUUUCAACAUCAUAUUCCUCUCGUGCCAAACAAAAUACCAUAGCAACGCUUAUAAUGAGUGGUUGUGCUCUUCCGGUGUUAUCACCUCCUAAAUCCGGUAAAGGCAUAUUUGCGGUAAAACCAGUCGAUCAACGGUGUAGUCGAUGGUUCUACGCCUUUCCCUAUUGAGUUGUCCGCUCAAAGGUACCAGUCUAAUACCCACGGAAACCUUACUCUCUUUAAUUGCGGAUGCAUCAUGGUCAAACCUUGUCGAGUCAGUUAUGUUCUCCGCAUAAUGACUCUUUAAGAUAGCCUUGUCCAAAGUCCACUGGGUUUCCCCAAAACCCAAAUGGACACUACCACGUUUUGUGCAUUUAUUUGGAGAACUAAAUGCUUUUAUACGAUUUAUUGAUAUUUGAUAGUCGAGUCUAGUUGGGGUAAGGGCCUAAUCCUUUGUCUUGCAGAAAACAAGAGGCACGAAGUCCCCAACCCCAAAUACACGGAUGGACUGUUGAAGGAAAUGAAGGCGGACAUCUGGCCAGAGCCUACAUACUGUUGGGACUGUGCGAGCUAGGGAAGCUGUUCGAUGGAGCCGAUGAUGCUGAGUCUGUGGAGGUCCUUUUGGGACCAAAUAUAUAUGAGUUUUUUCCUUUUGCUUUGAGAAAUGUAAUAAGGCUAAUGGCC
This 5200-nucleotide long non-coding RNA is filed under the name Nicotiana benthamiana. RNAcentral's name for it is "long non-coding RNA (NBEN_LNC022369)". Lineage: Eukaryota; Viridiplantae; Streptophyta; Magnoliopsida; Solanales; Solanaceae. The record is from RNAcentral.